Molecule: ribosomal RNA, 449 nt
Filed under: uncultured bacterium
Lineage: Bacteria
Description: bacterial SSU rRNA
Rfam family: Bacterial small subunit ribosomal RNA
Source: RNAcentral
GUGGGGAAUCUUGCGCAAUGGGCGAAAGCCUGACGCAGCGACGCCGCGUGGGUGAUGAAGGCCUUCGGGUUGUAAAGCCCUGUGGGGAGGGACGAAUAAUACCGACCUAAUACGUCGGUAGAUGACGGUACCUCCUUAGCAAGCACCGGCUAACUCUGUGCCAGCAGCCGCGGUAAGACAGAGGGUGCAAACGUUGUUCGGAAUUACUGGGCGUAAAGCGCGUGUAGGCGGUCGUGUAAGUCGGGUGUGAAAGCCCGGGGCUCAACCCCGGAAGUGCAUUCGAUACUACUCGACUAGAGUACUGGAGAGGAUGGUGGAACUCUCGGUGUAGAGGUGAAAUUCGUAGAUAUCGAGAAGAACACCGGUGGCGAAGGCGGCCAUCUGGACAGAUACUGACGCUGAGACGCGAAAGCGUGGGGAGCAAACAGGAUUAGAAACCCUAGUAGUCC